Molecule: ribosomal RNA, 304 nt
Filed under: uncultured bacterium
Lineage: Bacteria
Description: partial 16S ribosomal RNA
Rfam family: Bacterial small subunit ribosomal RNA
Source: RNAcentral
CAGCAGUAGCCGCGGUAAUACGGAGGGUGCAAGCGUUAAUCGGAAUUACUGGGCGUAAAGCGCACGCAGGCGGUUUGUUAAGUUAGAUGUGAAAUCCCCGAGCUUAACUUGGGAACUGCAUUUGAAACUGGCAAGCUAGAGUCUUGUAGAGGGGGGUAGAAUUCCAGGUGUAGCGGUGAAAUGCGUAGAGAUCUGGAGGAAUACCGAUGGCGAAGGCGGCCCCCUGGACAAAGACUGACGCUCAGGUGCGAAAGCGUGGGGAGCAAACAGGAUUAGAGACCCCUGUAGUCCCUGUCUCUUAUAU